This 460-nucleotide ribosomal RNA is filed under the name uncultured bacterium. RNAcentral describes it as "partial 16S ribosomal RNA". It matches the Rfam family "Bacterial small subunit ribosomal RNA", at positions 338 to 795 of the family's 1533-position model. The record is from RNAcentral.
CCUACGGGAUGCAGCAGUGAGGAAUAUUGGUCAAUGGACGAGAGUCUGAACCAGCCGAGUAGCGUGAAGGAUGACUGCCCUAUGGGUUGUAAACUUCUUUUAUAUGGGAAUAAAAUGUUCCACGUGUGUGAUUUUGUAUGUACCAUAUGAAUAAGCAUCGGCUAACUCCGUGCCAGCAGCCGCGGUAAUACGGAGGAUCCGAGCGUUAUCCGGAUUUAUUGGGUUUAAAGGGAGCGUAGGUGGAUUGUUAAGUCAGUUGUGAAAGUUUGCGGCUCAACCGUAAAAUUGCAGUUGAAACUGGCAGUCUUGAGUACAGUAGAGGUGGGCGGAAUUCGUGGUGUAGCGGUGAAAUGCUUAGAUAUCACGAAGAACUCCGAGUGCGAAGGCAGUUCACUGGACUGCAACUGACACUGAGGCUCGAAAGUGUGGGUAUCAAACAGGAUUAGAUACUCCUGUAGUC